RNAcentral lists this ribosomal RNA (488 nucleotides) under uncultured bacterium. Its description in RNAcentral is "bacterial SSU rRNA". It matches the Rfam family "Bacterial small subunit ribosomal RNA", at positions 8 to 507 of the family's 1533-position model. The record is from RNAcentral.
AGAGUUUGAUCAUGGCUCAGAAUGAACGUUGGCGGCGUGGAUUAGGCAUGCAAGUCGAGCGCGAUAUGUAGCAAUACAUGGAGAGGCGGCGAAAGGGAGAGUAAUACGUAGGUAUCUACCCUCGGGUCUGGGAUAGCAGCGGGAAACUGCUGGUAAUACCAGAUAACGUCUCCGGACCAAAGGUGUGAUUCCACCUGAGGAGGAGCCUACGGCCUAUUAGCUAGUUGGUAGGGUAACGGCCUACCAAGGCAAAGAUGGGUAUGGGGUGUGAGAGCAUGCCCCCACUCACUGGGACUGAGACACUGCCCAGACACCUACGGGUGGCUGCAGUCGAGAAUCUUCGGCAAUGGGCGAAAGCCUGACCGAGCGACGCCGCGUGCGGGAUGAAGGCCUUCGGGUUGUAAACCGCUGUCGUAGUGGAGGAAAUGUAGGAGAGUUAUCUCUUCUACUUGACUAAUACUAGGAGGGAAGGACCGGCUAAUCUCGUG